This 455-nucleotide ribosomal RNA is filed under the name uncultured bacterium. RNAcentral describes it as "bacterial SSU rRNA". It matches the Rfam family "Bacterial small subunit ribosomal RNA", at positions 8 to 463 of the family's 1533-position model. The record is from RNAcentral.
AGAGUUUGAUCCUGGCUCAGAUUGAACGCUGGCGGCAUGCUUUACACAUGCAAGUCGAACGGCAGCACGGGUGCUUGCACCUAGUGGCGAGUGGCGAACGGGUGAGUAAUGCACCGGAACGUACCCAGUAAUGGGGGAUAACACAUCGAAAGAUGUGCUAAUACCGCAUACGCCCUGAGGGGGAAAGCGGGGGAUCGUAAGACCUCGCGUUAUUGGAGCGGCCGAUGCCGGAUUAGCUAGUUGGUGAGGUAAGAGCUCACCAAGGCGACGAUCCGUAGCUGGUCUGAGAGGACGACCAGCCACACUGGGACUGAGACACGGCCCAGACUCCUACGGGAGGCAGCAGUGGGGAAUUUUGGACAAUGGGCGCAAGCCUGAUCCAGCCAUGCCGCGUGAGUGAAGAAGGCCUUCGGGUUGUAAAGCUCUUUCGCAAGGAAAGAAAACUUAUCUACUAA